UAGGGAAUCUUCGGCAAUGGACGGAAGUCUGACCGAGCAACGCCGCGUGGGUGAAGAAGGUUUUCGGAUCGUAAAGCUCUGUUGUAAGAGAAGAACGAGUGUGAGAGUGGAAAGUUCACACUGUGACGGUAUCUUACCAGAAAGGGACGGCUAACUACGUGCCAGCAGCCGCGGUAAUACGUAGGUCCCGAGCGUUGUCCGGAUUUAUUGGGCGUGAAGCGAGCGCAGGCGGUUAGAUAAGUCUGAAGUUAAAGGCUGUGGCUUAACCAUAGUAGGCUUUGGAAACUGUUUAACUUGAGUGCAAGAGGGGAGGGUGGAAUUCCAUGUGUAGCGGUGAAAUGCGUAGAUAUAUGGAGGAACACCGGUGGCGAAAGCGGCUCUCUGGCUUGUAACUGACGCUGAGGCUCGAAAGCGUGGGGAGCAAACAGGAUUAGAUACCCUGGUAGUCCACGCUGUAAACGAUGAGUGCUAGGUGUUAGACCCUUUCCGGGGUUUAGUGCCGUAGCUAACGCAUUAAGCACUCCGCCUGGGGAGUACGACCGCAAGGUUG
This 550-nucleotide ribosomal RNA is filed under the name uncultured bacterium. RNAcentral's name for it is "bacterial SSU rRNA". It matches the Rfam family "Bacterial small subunit ribosomal RNA", at positions 355 to 896 of the family's 1533-position model. The record is from RNAcentral.